RNAcentral lists this ribosomal RNA (893 nucleotides) under Bacillus infantis. RNAcentral's name for it is "bacterial SSU rRNA". It matches the Rfam family "Bacterial small subunit ribosomal RNA", at positions 60 to 935 of the family's 1533-position model. The record is from RNAcentral. Lineage: Bacteria; Bacillati; Bacillota; Bacilli; Caryophanales; Bacillaceae.
AGUCGAGCGGACGGAUGGGAGCUUGCUCCCUGAAGUCAGCGGCGGACGGGUGAGUAACACGUGGGCAACCUGCCUGUAAGACUGGGAUAACUUCGGGAAACCGGAGCUAAUACCGGAUAAUGCAUAACCUCUCAUGAGGCUAUGCUGAAAGAUGGUUUCGGCUAUCACUUACAGAUGGGCCCGCGGCGCAUUAGCUAGUUGGUGAGGUAACGGCUCACCAAGGCAACGAUGCGUAGCCGACCUGAGAGGGUGAUCGGCCACACUGGGACUGAGACACGGCCCAGACUCCUACGGGAGGCAGCAGUAGGGAAUCUUCCGCAAUGGACGAAAGUCUGACGGAGCAACGCCGCGUGAGUGAUGAAGGUUUUCGGAUCGUAAAACUCUGUUGUUAGGGAAGAACAAGUGCCGGAGUAACUGCCGGCACCUUGACGGUACCUAACCAGAAAGCCACGGCUAACUACGUGCCAGCAGCCGCGGUAAUACGUAGGUGGCAAGCGUUGUCCGGAAUUAUUGGGCGUAAAGCGCGCGCAGGCGGUCUCUUAAGUCUGAUGUGAAAGCCCACGGCUCAACCGUGGAGGGUCAUUGGAAACUGGGGGACUUGAGUGCAGAAGAGGAAAGUGGAAUUCCACGUGUAGCGGUGAAAUGCGUAGAGAUGUGGAGGAACACCAGUGGCGAAGGCGACUUUCUGGUCUGUAACUGACGCUGAGGCGCGAAAGCGUGGGGAGCAAACAGGAUUAGAUACCCUGGUAGUCCACGCCGUAAACGAUGAGUGCUAAGUGUUAGAGGGUUUCCGCCCUUUAGUGCUGCAGCAAACGCAUUAAGCACUCCGCCUGGGGAGUACGGCCGCAAGGCUGAAACUCAAAGGAAUUGACGGGGGCCCGCACAAGCGGUGG